UACAGAGACCUCAAGCGUUACUCGGAUUCACUGGGCGUAAAGGGUGCGCAGGCGGUCGCGUGUGUCAGGUGUGAAAUCCCAGGGCUUAACUCUGGAACUGCGCCUGAAACUACGUGACUAGAGUCUUGGAGAGGUAAGCGGAAUUUCUGGUGUAGCGGUGAAAUGCGUAGAUAUCAGAAGGAACACCAAUGGCGAAGGCAGCUUACUGGACAAGUACUGACGCUCAUGCACGAAAGCGUGGGGAGCGAAA
This 250-nucleotide ribosomal RNA is filed under the name uncultured bacterium. Its description in RNAcentral is "partial 16S ribosomal RNA". It matches the Rfam family "Bacterial small subunit ribosomal RNA", at positions 524 to 773 of the family's 1533-position model. The record is from RNAcentral.